RNAcentral lists this ribosomal RNA (253 nucleotides) under uncultured bacterium. RNAcentral's name for it is "partial 16S ribosomal RNA". It matches the Rfam family "Bacterial small subunit ribosomal RNA", at positions 524 to 776 of the family's 1533-position model. The record is from RNAcentral.
UACAGAGGUCUCAAGCGUUGUUCGGAUUCAUUGGGCGUAAAGGGUGCGUAGGCGGCGCGGUAAGUCGGGUGUGAAAUCUUGGAGCUUAACUCCGAAACUGCAUUCGAUACUGCCGUGCUUGAGGACUGGAGAGGAGACUGGAAUUUACGGUGUAGCGGUGAAAUGCGUAGAUAUCGUAAGGAAGACCAGUGGCGAAGGCGGGUCUCUGGACAGUUCCUGACGCUGAGGAGCGAAAGCAUGGGGAGCGAACAGG